GAUUGAACGGCGGAUGGAGUUGGUGCGCGUCGUGUCUCACAACACACACAAGAGGAUGGUGUCGUGUCUACAGGGACACAUCGGAGCAGAGGCAGAAAAGAGACAUUCCGUUCCACGCCUCUAUACAGGAAACGGUCAGAAAAAGCUUCCUCUCACUGCACUAUCCCAGGCCAUGGUGGAAGGAGGAAACCAGUUGGGGGAGGACUCCUUGAUAGGGUGAGUUUGGGAAUGAGUG
Long non-coding RNA from Notothenia coriiceps (black rockcod), 235 nucleotides. RefSeq lists it as uncharacterized. The transcript has 3 exons. The record is from RefSeq and is a predicted model, not a curated record. NCBI's taxonomy places the organism in Eukaryota, Metazoa, Chordata, Actinopteri, Perciformes, Nototheniidae.